Molecule: ribosomal RNA, 1044 nt
Filed under: uncultured Blastococcus sp.
Lineage: Bacteria; Bacillati; Actinomycetota; Actinomycetes; Geodermatophilales; Geodermatophilaceae
Description: bacterial SSU rRNA
Rfam family: Bacterial small subunit ribosomal RNA
Source: RNAcentral
UCCUACGGGAGGCAGCAGUGGGGAAUAUUGCGCAAUGGGCGAAAGCCUGACGCAGCGACGCCGCGUGGGGGAUGACGGCCUUCGGGUUGUAAACCUCUUUCAGCAGGGACGAAGCGAAUGUGACGGUACCUGCAGAAGAAGCACCGGCCAACUACGUGCCAGCAGCCGCGGUAAUACGUAGGGUGCAAGCGUUGUCCGGAAUUAUUGGGCGUAAAGAGCUCGUAGGCGGUUUGUUGCGUCGGCUGUGAAAUCCCGAGGCUCAACCUCGGGUCUGCAGUCGAUACGAGCAAACUAGAGUGUUGCAGGGGAGACUGGAAUUCCUGGUGUAGCGGUGAAAUGCGCAGAUAUCAGGAGGAACACCGGUGGCGAAGGCGGGUCUCUGGGCAACAACUGACGCUGAGGAGCGAAAGCGUGGGGAGCGAACAGGAUUAGAUACCCUGGUAGUCCACGCCGUAAACGUUGGGCGCUAGGUGUGGGGCUCAUUCCACGAGUUCCGUGCCGCAGCUAACGCAUUAAGCGCCCCGCCUGGGGAGUACGGCCGCAAGGCUAAAACUCAAAGGAAUUGACGGGGGCCCGCACAAGCGGCGGAGCAUGUUGCUUAAUUCGAUGCAACGCGAAGAACCUUACCUAGGCUUGACAUGCACGGAAAUCUCGCAGAGAUGCGGGGUCCGUAAGGGCCGUGCACAGGUGGUGCAUGGUUGUCGUCAGCUCGUGUCGUGAGAUGUUGGGUUAAGUCCCGCAACGAGCGCAACCCUCGUUCUAUGUUGCCAGCACGUAAUGGUGGGGACUCAUAGGAGACUGCCGGGGUCAACUCGGAGGAAGGUGGGGAUGACGUCAAAUCAACAUGCCCCUUAUGUCUAGGGCUGCAAACAUGCUACAAUGGCCGGUACAAAGGGCUGCGAUACCGCGAGGUGGAGCGAAUCCCAAAAAGCCGGUCUCAGUUCGGAUCGGGGUCUGCAACUCGACCCCGUGAAGUCGGAGUCGCUAGUAAUCGCAGAUCAGCAACGCUGCGGUGAAUACGUUCCCGGGCCUUGUACACACCGC